RNAcentral lists this microRNA precursor (122 nucleotides) under Tetranychus urticae (two-spotted spider mite). RNAcentral's name for it is "microRNA tur-mir-124 precursor (tur-mir-124-1)". Its record names the gene tur-mir-124-1. The stretch from base 21 to 95 matches the Rfam family "mir-124 microRNA precursor family". From Rfam's summary of the family: The mature ~21nt miRNAs are processed from hairpin precursor sequences represented here, in this case originating from the 3' arm. The record is from miRBase by way of RNAcentral. Lineage: Eukaryota; Metazoa; Arthropoda; Arachnida; Trombidiformes; Tetranychidae.
UCAUGUUAUUGUCAUUGCCAUACUCUCCGUGUUCACUGUGUAUGUCUUGAUGUUUCCUUUGAUUAUCAUAAGGCACGCGGUGAAUGCCAAGAGUUGUGGUUAUCUUAUUGAUAUGGACAUGA